AUUUGGUGGAACUGCUGGCUUUCGCCCUCUGACUCCCGAAGCCUCUUCCUCAAAACCUCGGACUCCGCCUCGGCAUCUUUGACCACCUGCUGCUCGUAGGCCAGCUGAAUCUUCAGCCGCUGCAGUUCGACCUUCUCCUUCCCAAGGGCCACAGACAGUUCUUUCAUGGUCCCCCUCAAAGAGUGGAGCUCGUCGGAGCCUUGUGCAGAGAUGGC
This 215-nucleotide long non-coding RNA is filed under the name Elaeis guineensis (African oil palm). RNAcentral describes it as "long non-coding RNA (EGUI_LNC039478)". The record is from RNAcentral. Lineage: Eukaryota; Viridiplantae; Streptophyta; Magnoliopsida; Arecales; Arecaceae.